RNAcentral lists this microRNA precursor (98 nucleotides) under Cajanus cajan (pigeon pea). RNAcentral's name for it is "miRNA gene-KK1_035774". Lineage: Eukaryota; Viridiplantae; Streptophyta; Magnoliopsida; Fabales; Fabaceae. The record is from RNAcentral.
UAAUUAAAUGAUAUAAUCAUCUGUCAAAUUGUAGAUUAGAAAAAUAAUUAUUAAAAUAAAUAUUAAUUUUAUAAUAUGAUAUCCGACACAUACUCUCG